AUUGAACGCUGGCGGCAGGCUUAACACAUGCAAGUCGAGCGGUAACAGAGAGAAGCUUGCUUCUCUGCUGACGAGCGGCGGACGGGUGAGUAAUGCCUAGGAAUCUGCCUAGUAGUGGGGGAUAACUUGCCGAAAGGUAAGCUAAUACCGCAUACGUCCUACGGGAGAAAGGAGGGGACCUUUGGGCCUUUCGCUAUUAGAUGAGCCUAGGUCGGAUUAGUUAGUUGGUGAGGUAAUGGCUCACCAAGACCGCGAUCCGUAACUGGUCUGGGAGUGUGAUCAGUCACACUGGAACUGAGACACGGUCCAGACUCCUACGGGAGGCAGCAGUGGGGAAUAUUGGACAAUGGGGGGAACCCUGAUCCAGCCAUGCCGCGUGUGUGAAGAAGGUCUUAGGAUUGUAAGGCACUUUAAGUUGGGAGGAAGAGCAGUUAACUAAUAUUUGACUGUUUUGACGUUACCGACAGAAUAAGCACCGGCUAACUUCGUGCCAGCCGCCGCGGUAA
RNAcentral lists this ribosomal RNA (506 nucleotides) under uncultured bacterium. RNAcentral's name for it is "partial 16S ribosomal RNA". It matches the Rfam family "Bacterial small subunit ribosomal RNA", at positions 30 to 523 of the family's 1533-position model. The record is from RNAcentral.